UACGUAGGGUUCAAGCGUUAUCCGGAAUCACUGGGCGUAAAGCGUGUGUAGGCGGAAAUUUAAGUGAUAUGCGAAAUCCUGUGGCUCAACCAUAUGGACUGUAUAUCAUACUGGAUUUCUAGAGGACGGCAGAGGCAAGUGGAAUUGGUAGUGUAGCAGUGAAAUGCGUAGAUAUUACCAGGAACACCAAUGGCGAAGGCAGCUUGCUGGGCCGUUUCUGACGCUCAGACACGAAAGCGUGGGGAGCGAACAGG
RNAcentral lists this unclassified non-coding RNA (254 nucleotides) under uncultured Patescibacteria group bacterium. RNAcentral describes it as "contains 16S-23S intergenic spacer region". It matches the Rfam family "Bacterial small subunit ribosomal RNA", at positions 524 to 776 of the family's 1533-position model. The record is from RNAcentral.